This is a long non-coding RNA of Ornithodoros turicata, 254 nucleotides long. RefSeq lists it as uncharacterized. NCBI's taxonomy places the organism in Eukaryota, Metazoa, Arthropoda, Arachnida, Ixodida, Argasidae. The transcript is spliced from 4 exons. The record is from RefSeq and is a predicted model, not a curated record.
GGCACGUGCGCGUAUGUUCCUCUCUACGCUCCUGCUGAAUUCCAUAGGGCCUCACCCUGACGUGCAGUGCAAUCCGUACAUGCUAUGAGAAGUACGCUGACAUGAAAGCUAAGGAUCCUGAUGACUAUGCGGAUCACGUGAUGACGUGUGUCUCUGAUAACCUAUCGAUGCAGCUUACCAAGCGGAAGGAAAAAGCUGGCGGAGAGGGAUUCGAGUGGGUGGACAACUACCAAGGUGCUAUAGUCACAGUGGAG